Molecule: ribosomal RNA, 440 nt
Filed under: uncultured bacterium
Lineage: Bacteria
Description: partial 16S ribosomal RNA
Rfam family: Bacterial small subunit ribosomal RNA
Source: RNAcentral
CCUACGGGUGGCAGCAGUGGGGAAUAUUGCACAAUGGGGGGAACCCUGAUGCAGCAAUGCCGCGUGGGUGAAGAAGCACUCCGGUGCGUAAAGCCCUGUCAGCAGGGAAGACAAUGACAGUACCUGGACAAGAAGCCCCGGCUAACUACGUACCAGCAGCCGCAGUAAUACGGAGGGGGCAAGCGUUAGCCGGAUUUACUGGGUGAAAAGGGAGCGCGGGCGGCGUGCCAAGUCAGAUGUGAAAACCCGGGGCACAACCCCGGGAGUGGAUUUGAAACUGCCAUGCUGGAGUGCCGGAGAGGUAAGCGGAAUUCGUGGUGUAGCGGUGAAAUGCGUAGAUAUUAGGAGGAACACCAGUGGCGGAGGCGGCUUACUGGACGGUAACUGACGCUGAGGCUCGAAAGCGUGGGGAGCAAACAGGAUUAGAUACCCGGGUAGUC